GCCCUCAUCGUCUAGGGGUCUAGGACAACAGAUUCUCAGUCUGUGAACUGGGGUUCGAAUCCCCAUGAGGGUGCCA
RNAcentral lists this transfer RNA (76 nucleotides) under Planctomycetota bacterium. RNAcentral's name for it is "tRNA-Glu". It matches the Rfam family "tRNA". From Rfam's summary of the family: Transfer RNA (tRNA) molecules are approximately 80 nucleotides in length. Their secondary structure includes four short double-helical elements and three loops (D, anti-codon, and T loops). Lineage: Bacteria; Pseudomonadati; Planctomycetota. RNAcentral also lists the same sequence under 1 other name. The record is from RNAcentral.